CAGACUUUCUGUUCAGCCAUUUUCUCUGCAUGUUAAAAAAAAGAUUAAGAAAUUGUAUGCUGUUUAAAAUAAUCACAUCACAGAGAUGAUGAGGCAGGAGAUCAGAUGUAACCAUGUGCACCUGGACAUCUUAUCCCUCUUGCUGGUGAAUGGAAUGCUGACAGGAGCAGAUCUGUCACUCAGGCAGAGGAAACAGAUGGGGUGAUUGCGUAGCCUCUGGCUGGGACAGGAAGGAAGAAUGGAGGAAAAGCACUAGAGCAUGUCUAAUAGUGGCUGUGGAAUGAACUGUAUCCCCUCCCACCCCAAAUUUAUGUAUUGAAGCCCUAACCUCCCAAGUGACAAUAUUAGAGGUAGGCUGUUAAGGAGGUAAUUAAAGUUACAUGAAAUCAUAAAGAUGCAACUCUAAUUCUACAGAACUGGUGUCUUUAUCUGAAGAGGAAGAGACACCUGAACUCUCUUUCUGCCAUUGAGGAUCAGUAAGAAGGGGACCAUCUUCAUACCCAGGAAAAGCGCCCACAGGAGAAUCCAACUAUGCUAACAUCCUGAUCUCAAUUUCCUGUCUCCAGAACUAUGAGAAAGUAAAUUUCUGUAGUUUAAGUGA
Molecule: long non-coding RNA, 601 nt
Organism: Ictidomys tridecemlineatus (thirteen-lined ground squirrel)
Lineage: Eukaryota; Metazoa; Chordata; Mammalia; Rodentia; Sciuridae
Source: RefSeq, a predicted model, not a curated record